This 465-nucleotide ribosomal RNA is filed under the name uncultured bacterium. RNAcentral describes it as "bacterial SSU rRNA". It matches the Rfam family "Bacterial small subunit ribosomal RNA", at positions 338 to 795 of the family's 1533-position model. The record is from RNAcentral.
CCUACGGGGUGCACCAGUGGGGAAUAUAGCACAAUGGGCGCAAGCCUGAUGCGGCCAUGCCGCGUGUAUGAAGAAGGCCUUCGGGUUGUAAAGUACUUUCAGCGGGGAGGAAGGUGUUGUGGUUAAUAACUGCAGCAAUUGACGUUACCCGCAGAAGAAGCACCGGCUAACUCCGUGCCAGCAGCCGCGGUAAUACGGAGGGUGCAAGCGUUAAUCGGAAUUACUGGGCGUAAAGCACACGCAGGCGGUCUGUCAAGUCGGAUGUGAAAUCCCCGGGCUCAACCUGGGAACUGCAUUCGAAACUGGCAGGCUAGAGUCUUGUAGAGGGGGGUAGAAUUCCAGGUGUAGCGGUGAAAUGCGCAGAGAUCUGGAGGAAUACUGGUGGCGAAGGCGGCCCACUGGACAAAGACUGACGCUCAGGUGCGAGAGCGUGGGGAGCAAACAGGAUUAGAUACCCCUGUAGUC